GCUAGUAAUCGCGGAUCAGAAUGCCGCGGUGAAUACGUUCCCGGGUCUUGUACACACCGCCCGUCACACCAUGGGAGUCGGAAAUGCCCGAAGCCGGUGGCCUAACCGAUAAGGGAGGAGCCGUCGAAGGCAGGUCUGAUGACUGGGGUGAAGUCGUAACAAGGUACC
Molecule: ribosomal RNA, 168 nt
Filed under: uncultured bacterium
Lineage: Bacteria
Description: partial 16S ribosomal RNA
Rfam family: Bacterial small subunit ribosomal RNA
Source: RNAcentral